GCCUGAUCAGGUUGAAGUCAGGGGAAACCCUGAUGGAAGACCGAAGCAGUUCUGACGUGCAAAUCGAUUGUCAGAAUUGGGCAUAGGGGCGAAAGACCAAUCGAACCAUCUAGUAGCUGGUUCCCUCCGAAGUUUCCCUCAGGAUAGCUGGUGCAUAUACCGUUUCUAUAAACUUAAUAAAUCUUAUCUGGUAAAGCGAAUGAUUAGAGGCAUUAGGUUCGAAACGUUCUUAACCUAUUCUCAAACUAUAAAUGGGUACGAUAUAAGAGUUUCUUGAUUGAACUCUUAUUUCACGCUAUAAUGGCGUACCAUAUCAAACAUUUAUUACAUGUUUGUAAUUUGGUUUAGAUUUAUUGUGCCCAGUGGGCCAAG
This 372-nucleotide ribosomal RNA is filed under the name Simulium nakhonense. Its description in RNAcentral is "eukaryotic LSU rRNA". It matches the Rfam family "Eukaryotic large subunit ribosomal RNA", at positions 835 to 1135 of the family's 3401-position model. The record is from RNAcentral. Lineage: Eukaryota; Metazoa; Arthropoda; Insecta; Diptera; Simuliidae.